RNAcentral lists this ribosomal RNA (188 nucleotides) under uncultured bacterium. RNAcentral describes it as "partial 16S ribosomal RNA". It matches the Rfam family "Bacterial small subunit ribosomal RNA", at positions 1315 to 1500 of the family's 1533-position model. The record is from RNAcentral.
CCUACAUGAAGCUGGAGUUACUAGUAAUCGCAGAUCAGAAUGCUGCGGUGAAUGCGUUCCCGGGUCUUGUACACACCGCCCGUCACACCACGGAAGGUUGGGGCGCCCGAAGCCACUUAGCUAACCCUUUUGGGAAGCGAGUGUCGAAGGUGAAAUCAAUAACUGGGGUGAAGUCGUAACAAGGUACC